This is a long non-coding RNA of Triticum dicoccoides, 1003 nucleotides long. RefSeq lists it as uncharacterized. NCBI's taxonomy places the organism in Eukaryota, Viridiplantae, Streptophyta, Magnoliopsida, Poales, Poaceae. The record is from RefSeq and is a predicted model, not a curated record. The transcript has 4 exons.
CACAGUAACCCUAUCCCUAUCCACGCGUUCUUUCCGGCGACGGCGCCGCCAUUCUCUUGUUCUCCGCCCCAUGGCCGCCCCAUCUUCUCCUCACCUGCCUGACCUUAUGCCCACCUCCUCCCACUCUCUCCGCCUUUCUGUGCUCCCGUCCUCCUAGUGCCUCCUCCCGGCUCCCGCAUCCAGAUGCGUCCGCCUUGGGUUUGCUACCGCCGGAGAUGGCUACCAUGGAGGUCGGCCCCUUCAGAUCUAGCGGCACAGUCCUCUACCAGGUGAAGUAGUCAAGGAGGACGCAGCGCCGUCACCUGGCUGGUGCUGGGUGCCGCUCUGGCCCUCCUUCCGGUCGGUGUGUACCUUGCUCCUGGGGUAGCGCCGAGCGAAGGCGACGACUACAAGCAGCAGCAGAAGCGGCGCAUGGCCAAGGAUCUAGGCCUCCGACCAUUGGUGGUCGUUCUUGUGGCAGAAGCGGCGGUACAGAGUGCACGCCUGCCCCCAGUUCAGCCUUCCUCCAUCAGAUCUGGAGCCCCCGGAUUCUUCCUCCCGGCAGCAGCGCAAUUUGUUGGCCUGCUCACCAGCUCCUAGCGGUGGUGCCCUGUGAUACCCCAUGGCCCCUGACCCCUGUCCAUACCUGCUGACAAAAAGUGGACGGAGGGCUUCUAUGACACAUCCAUGGCCUACUGCUGGAAGUCGAUUGGCGGUCUCCAUGUCCUGAAAUGCUAGUUCUAUAAUUAGGAAGCAACCGUAAGGACUAGACUCACAAAGACCCGUGAAGCCGUACUGGACUCACAAAGAACCAUGAAGCCAACAGUCCACGUCAACUGGAUGUUUGAGCUUCCAUUUUGUACAACUGAUGUCUCAUACUUGCAUUUUUAUCUAUCCUUUUCUGAUCAUGAUGUAUGGUGUCUUAGUGGUUAUGUUUAGAAUAGACUGAAGUGUAUAUAUGUGACGAUUAGUUAAUGAAUAAAAAAAUGUUUGGUGCACAUGAAAUACGGUGCCUUGGUGAUUA